GUCUAAGCAGCAGAUUUGAAGUAAACAGUGAUAGCACAGGGACUGCAAAAAGGACGACGCAGAACUAAGUGAUUUAAUUCUGUCACUUCAGCCCGUGAGGAGACUCUACCAGUUGCAAAUGUGAAAUCUAGAUCACAGUAGAGUCUCACCCCAGCAAAGUGCCAUCUGAGAAGCACAGCGGGAGACAGACACCUGACUUGCCAGGUCCCAGCAGAACACAAUAGGUGCUGCUGGUGACAGAGGGCUGGAUGCCACAGCAGCUGGGCCUCACGACAAGUGUAUCGAGCAUGGGACAAUAGGCUGUGACAACCGGACAGUGGGGGUAAUGCAGAUAAAAGGCCUCAGGGAUAGCAUCCUGGGACUGAAAUUUGGGAAGUAAAAUGAAAAAGUUGUAUCUUUCUAUUACCAUCACUGUAAGGCUCCAGAAGUGACUCUAAGAAUAGUAUGAACUUACAAGAGAUUCAGAUUCUUGUUAUGACCUGGAUUUGCCUGUUCUUUUUAUUUUAGAUGCUUUCCUUUUGCACGGGACUUUUAUCACGCAAUCUGUAAACAUACUCAGACUCAAAGUCAGAAUUUUAAAUCUGGGUUUAAAAGAAAGCAUUACAGUAGCCAAUGUGGAAAACAGCAUUUCAAUAAAAUUCCAAUAAGCAUUCGUUUUAUGCUAAUGAA
This is a long non-coding RNA of Galeopterus variegatus (Sunda flying lemur), 669 nucleotides long. RefSeq lists it as uncharacterized. NCBI's taxonomy places the organism in Eukaryota, Metazoa, Chordata, Mammalia, Dermoptera, Cynocephalidae. The transcript has 2 exons. The record is from RefSeq and is a predicted model, not a curated record.